GUUUUCCAGGAGGAGAAAUGUUCCACACAUUGUAUCUGGAACCAGGACAUCUACGGAGGCAGCAUGUGAGGAUUUCGUCAUGGCGCGGAAGUCUUGAACCAGCAGGUCCGCGUGAGGAAGGAAUGUUUCUUACGGAUUGUAACUCUAGCCGGGGGAAGCAACGUGGCGCCCACGCGUGGCGCAGUGAGAGUACUGGAGAAUAAGCAUCGGCUACUCGUGCCAGCAGCCGCGGUAAUACGGAGGAUGCGAGCGUUAUCCGGAUUUAUUGGGUUUAAAGGGUGCGCAGGCGGCGCGAAAAGUCAGCGGUCAAAGUUCCGGGCUCAACCCGGUGACGCCGUUGAAACUUUCGUGCUGGAGUUCGUGCGAGGGAGGCGGAAUGCGUUGUGUAGCGGUGAAAUGCAUAGAUAUGACGCAGAACCCCGAUUGCGAAGGCAGCUUUCCAGCACGCGACUGACGCUGAGGCACGAAAGCGUGGGGAGCGAACAGGAUUAGAUACCCUGGUAGUCCACGCGGUAAACGAUGAAUACUAGCCCUGCGGCGCGAAUGGGUGCUGCGGGGCAGAGUGAAAACGUUAAGUAUUCCACCUGGGGAGUACGCCGGCAACGGUGAAACUCAAAGGAAUUGACGGGGGCCCGCACAAGCGGAGGAACAUGUGGUUUAAUUCGAUGAUACGCGAGGAACCUUACCCGGGCUCAAACGGCGGGAGACGCGUCCGGAAACGGGCGUUCCCUUCGGGGCUGCCGCCGAGGUGCUGCAUGGUUGUCGUCAGCUCGUGCCGUGAGGUGUCGGCUUAAGUGCCAUAACGAGCGCAACCCCCAUCUUCAGUUGCCAGCGGGCAAGGCCGGGCACUCUGGAGAGACUGCCAGCGCAAGCUGUGAGGAAGGCGGGGAUGACGUCAAAUCAGCACGGCCCUUACGUCCGGGGCGACACACGUGUUACAAUGGCAGGGUCACAGAGGGAAGCCAGGCGGCGACGCCGAGCCGAUCCCGAAAACCUGUCUCAGUUCGGAUCGGAGUCUGCAACCCGACUCCGUGAAGCUGGAUUCGCUAGUAAUCGCGCAUCAGCCAUGGCGCGGUGAAUACGUUCCCGGGCCUUGUACACACCGCCCGUCAAGCCAUGGAAGCCUGGAGUGCCUGAAGUUCGUGACCGCGAGGAGCGACCAAGGGUAAGACAGGUAACUGGGGCUAAGUCGUAACAAGGUAAUCACUGCCGUCGUAACCUCC
This 1223-nucleotide ribosomal RNA is filed under the name uncultured bacterium. RNAcentral's name for it is "bacterial SSU rRNA". It matches the Rfam family "Bacterial small subunit ribosomal RNA", at positions 287 to 1533 of the family's 1533-position model. The record is from RNAcentral.